This 281-nucleotide ribosomal RNA is filed under the name uncultured Methanothermobacter sp. RNAcentral's name for it is "partial 16S ribosomal RNA". It matches the Rfam family "Archaeal small subunit ribosomal RNA", at positions 366 to 647 of the family's 1478-position model. Lineage: Archaea; Methanobacteriati; Methanobacteriota; Methanobacteria; Methanobacteriales; Methanobacteriaceae. The record is from RNAcentral.
UGCGACGGGGGACCCCUGGUGCCACUCUUAACGGGGUGGCUUUUCAUAAGUGUAAAAAGCUUCUGGAAUAAGGGCUGGGCAAGACCGGUGCCAGCCGCCGCGGUAACACCGGCAGCUCAAGUGGUAGCCGCUUUUAUUGGGCCUAAAGCGUCCGUAGCCGGUCUGAUAAGUCUCUGGUGAAAUCCCACAGCUUAACUGAGGGAAUUGCUGGAGAUACUACCAUGACUCCAGGGCGGGAUAGGCUGGAGGUACACCUGGGGUAUGGGUGAUCUCCUGAAAGA